AAAAACGACCAAUAAUUUAAUAUUAGUUUAUUGACAAAAUACUCUAGCGACGAAACAGUGAACCAUUUAUCUCACUAAGAUGUAACGUGCAAUAUGUUGAACAUUAAUCUCUAUCUAGAAAAGAUAGUGUCUAAGGAAUAAAUUUGUGAGGACAAGCGAAUGGAGAAGUUCGCUGGAAUUGUCACGAAAAAUAGAUAGAUAGUCAUCCAUAAAUGGAAUUCGCCAAAAGUCGACAUUGAAAUUCUUGCAUUAAUUAUUGCAACUGUGAAAACUGCGAUAAAGGGAAUAAAACUACGCUCUAUUGAGUCAGUUUGUUAUUGAAAUAAUCGAUAAAGUAAAAAUAACAUUAAAAUGGAAGGAGAUUUUUAUAAAUCCAAAUAUUAUAUUCCUGAUUUUUUUUGGAUUUGAAGGUUCUUAAUGGAUUAUUGAAUAAGUAUCCUUACCAUCUCCGUAAAGGUAUAAACUAAAUGAUGCAGACGCGAGUUAAAGAUCGAUAAAAUGGCUACAAUGAGUCUCCAUUCAAUAGACAUCGUAAACAAGCGCCGCGCGCGCGUACACAAAUUAUCAUAAUGAUAUUACAAUCUCAAUUAACAGAUUGUCGACAUCGUAAAUCGAUUUUUUCUUCUCUUUACAUUGUAUUGAUUUACGAUAAUCUUAAAUCUCUCAAAAAAGAUAU
Long non-coding RNA from Apis florea (little honeybee), 676 nucleotides. RefSeq lists it as uncharacterized. NCBI's taxonomy places the organism in Eukaryota, Metazoa, Arthropoda, Insecta, Hymenoptera, Apidae. The record is from RefSeq and is a predicted model, not a curated record.